Misgurnus anguillicaudatus (oriental weatherfish) is the source of this 2193-nucleotide long non-coding RNA. RefSeq lists it as uncharacterized. The record is from RefSeq and is a predicted model, not a curated record. Lineage: Eukaryota; Metazoa; Chordata; Actinopteri; Cypriniformes; Cobitidae.
UACUUUUUAUUAUGCUGUUAGUGUGAUGCCUAUUUUCACUUAAAAGCAUAAAGAAAUACAAACAACAACGUUUUUUAUCAGCAAAUUUUAAAAUAAUUGUUGUUAUAGAUUCUGUUGUUAUUGUCAAAGUGACCAAGACCAAGUGGAAAAUGUUUUUAGUCGUCUGCUAAAAACCUGCAUAGCAACCGCACACGCCUCUCCUCGAACGGUGAGCAAAUCACGUCCGAAUCUCAGUGUGACGUCACGUUUGUUGACACUUCCAUUAGCUGGCCACUCGCGAAACGUCACAACAGCGGCGCGCGCCCGUGACCCUCAAAGACUGUCGCUUUGUGUUUUCUGCCUGGAAACAUCUCGAGCUAAUCGUAGCUGUGAAAGCGGGCAGGAGCCGCAUGGGAAAUGGGGUCCGAGCACAGUACUAGUUCUGCUACUGACCAGAGACAGAGGGAUCAGGGCAACCUGUCAUCCCAAGGUGAGGCAUCUUCAUCCACUGUCCACUCUGAUACCGGUUCUGACCCCGAGGACCAUCUGGAUCCAGAAACCGAACUGCCUCAAUGCAAAAUAGGCACCAGAAGGGUAGAUGACAUGAGUUUCAUGAUUUCAUGCACAAACUGGUACUAGAGACUUCAUCAUGCACCAUGCAAGAGAAACUGGACAUUUACAACUUCUUAGAUAAAUGUGUGCCGAAUUCAACAUAUGGAAACAAAACAUAAGAAGAUGCUGUUGUAAAGCUGUUUAAAUUCAUUUGAUACUAUUUAUUCCUUUGUAAGUAAUUAUGAAUUCAACCAGCAAACAAAACAUGAAUAUGUAUUUUACAAUUACCAUUAUUUUUAGGUUUGUGCUUAAUGUAAAUCUGUUCAGAUCAACAGCUUUGGACUUGCGUAAUGAUUGCAUAUUAAAGCAUGUAUUGUUAUGCUGUUUAUAACCACCUACAUUAUUGGUACAGAAACAUUUACAUUUAUUCAUUUAGCAGAUGCUUUAUCCAAAGUGACAAAAUAUGUAUUUAAUCCAAAGUGAAUGAAAUAUAUUUGCAUAAAUAUUAUGCAUUUAUUAUAUUAAUCUAUCCAGUAACCAGAAAACACUCAACAUUUAUGUAAUUUUAUUUUAUUGACAUUUUUCUUUGAACAUGGUGGUAUUAGAUACACAGUGUAAAACUGUAGACUAAAAACCGAAAACAAAAAUGACCCAUUGUUUAUAGCGUUAAAAACAGUUUCAACCAAUAAAGCUUAAAUAAUAUCUAAUAUUAGUAAAGCAAGUCUGUUUAAAAUCACUUGUCCUGAAGAAAUAUAACAUUAUGCAUGACAAUGUGAAAUUAUUGGCUACAGUUAGAGUGAAAGAAAAAUACAAAAGAUUGAAUUUCAAAAAGUUUCAGGAAAUCUUUAUAUUUACAUGACCAUUAAAACUUGGACAAAAUCUGAGCAGACUGCGACAUUUUACCUGCAAAUCAGAAAAAUAUCAAAAAGGACAGAAUCAGAAUAGUUUGAUUCAAAUUAUAGAGUGAAACUUUUCACUCUUCAAUUCUGUCAAAGGGAAAAACAAUUAUAUACAGUAAUACAAUUCCCGCAACGGUCAGUCAAGAAAAAACGAACCAAAAAAACUUUAAAGCUAUCUUUGAUAAAAUCUCCGUUUAAAAUUAACCCGCUGUAAUCGAAAGCGUAAAUACAGUUGGGUCCUUCACUAUACCUCUGAUAUGUUUGUCCUAUUGUUAGUUUCAUAAAAGUACAGUAAAAACAAAAGGCAACAGCAGCUUGGGUUAAAAGUGACUGUUGUCCAAAGCCACAAUCGUACCCAUUAAAAAGAGGCAAAUUACCAGAGAAUUCCUAUUAUUUAUGUCUCCCUGUACAGUUCGGUUCAUUUAUUUAUUUCUUCUGUGCAACUAAUGUGGUUAUAGGCAUGGCUUCACCUUGAUUUUAAAUUAAACUGUGUCGAAUACCCUUACGUCUCUAUUAAUGAUAAAUAAAUAGCUUUUCAUAUGAUACUGUACGCCUCUAGCAUUACAAACCUUUCACAUGACCCUACAACAAACGUCUCUAAAGAUAUCCACCUUUGAUAAAUACACUUUAGUUCUGUUAAACAUUUCACUUCUGACAUAGGUUUGUUUAAAGUUUAAACUGUGUUCAUAUAUACACAUAAUACUGGCUUGCUUAGUGAUCUAUAUGUCUGUAAAAUUCCUAUGGAAUGGUCCAAAAGUGUGUA